Macaca fascicularis (crab-eating macaque) is the source of this 148-nucleotide unclassified non-coding RNA. It matches the Rfam family "Metazoan signal recognition particle RNA". Rfam says of the family: The signal recognition particle (SRP) is a universally conserved ribonucleoprotein. The record is from Ensembl. Lineage: Eukaryota; Metazoa; Chordata; Mammalia; Primates; Cercopithecidae.
GCUGGGUGUGGUGGCGUGCGCCUGUAAUCCCAGCUACUUGGGAGGCUGAGGCAGGAGAAUUGCUUGAACUCAGGAGGCGGAGAUUGCAGUGAGCAGGGAUAACACUACUGCAACCCAGCCUGGGUGACAGAGUGAGACUCUGUCUCAA